GAUGAAGAACGUAGCGAAAUGCGAUACGUAAUGUGAAUUGCAGAAUUCAGUGAAUCAUCGAAUCUUUGAACGCAUAUUGCGCUCUCUGGUAUUCCGGAGAGCAUGCUUGUUUGAGUAUCAGUAACACCUCAACUUCCAUAUCUUUUUUGAAAUGGGAGUUGGACUUGAGUGAUCCCAACGCUUUUCCUCACCGAAAAGUGGCGGGUUACUUGAAAUGCAGGUGCAGCUGGACUUUUCUCUGAGCUAUAAGCAUAUCUAUUUAGUCUGCCUAAAAAACAGAUUAUUACCUUUGCUGCAGCUAACAUAAAGGAGAUUAGUUCUUGUGCUGACUGAUGCAGGAUUCACAAAGACAGGCUUCGGCCGACUUUGUAAACUCGAUCUCAAAUCAAGUAAGACUACCCGCUGAACUUAAGCAUAUCAAUAAGCGGAGGA
Molecule: unclassified non-coding RNA, 432 nt
Filed under: soil metagenome
Description: partial contains 5.8S ribosomal RNA, internal transcribed spacer 2, and large subunit ribosomal RNA
Rfam family: 5.8S ribosomal RNA (bases 1-120)
Source: RNAcentral